Molecule: ribosomal RNA, 465 nt
Filed under: Vreelandella stevensii
Lineage: Bacteria; Pseudomonadati; Pseudomonadota; Gammaproteobacteria; Oceanospirillales; Halomonadaceae
Description: partial 16S ribosomal RNA
Rfam family: Bacterial small subunit ribosomal RNA
Source: RNAcentral
CCUACGGGGGGCUGCAGUGGGGAAUAUUGGACAAUGGGGGCAACCCUGAUCCAGCCAUGCCGCGUGGGUGAAGAAGGCCCUCGGGUUGUAAAGCACUUUCAGUGAGGAAGAACGCCUGGGUGUUAAUACCCAUCAGGAAAGACAUCACUCACAGAAGAAGCACCGGCUAACUCCGUGCCAGCAGCCGCGGUAAUACGGAGGGUGCGAGCGUUAAUCGGAAUUACUGGGCGUAAAGCGCGCGUAGGUGGCUUGAUAAGCCGGUUGUGAAAGCCCCGGGCUCAACCUGAGAACGGCAUCCGGAACUGUCAAGCUAGAGUGCAGGAGAGGAAGGUAGAAUUCCCGGUGUAGCGGUGAAAUGCGUAGAGAUCGGGAGGAAUACCAGUGGCGAAGGCGGCCUUCUGGACUGACACUGACACUGAGGUGCGAAAGCGUGGGUAGCAAACAGGAUUAGAUACCCCAGUAGUC